Small nuclear RNA from Ochotona princeps (American pika), 107 nucleotides. The record is from RefSeq and is a predicted model, not a curated record. Lineage: Eukaryota; Metazoa; Chordata; Mammalia; Lagomorpha; Ochotonidae.
GUGCUCGCUUCGGCAGCACAUAUACUAAAAUUGGAAUGAUACAGAGAAGAAUAGCAUGGCCCUUGUACAAGGAUGUCAUGCAAAAAUAUAUGUGUGAUCAUCCUAUU